Molecule: transfer RNA, 72 nt
Filed under: Thermofilum sp. NZ13
Lineage: Archaea; Thermoproteati; Thermoproteota; Thermoprotei; Thermofilales; Thermofilaceae
Also listed under: 3 other names
Description: tRNA-Tyr
Rfam family: tRNA
About the family: Transfer RNA (tRNA) molecules are approximately 80 nucleotides in length. Their secondary structure includes four short double-helical elements and three loops (D, anti-codon, and T loops). Further hydrogen bonds mediate the characteristic L-shaped molecular structure. tRNAs have two regions of fundamental functional importance: the anti-codon, which is responsible for specific mRNA codon recognition, and the 3' end, to which the tRNAs corresponding amino acid is attached (by aminoacyl-tRNA synthetases). tRNAs cope with the degeneracy of the genetic code in two manners: having more than one tRNA (with a specific anti-codon) for a particular amino acid; and 'wobble' base-pairing, i.e. permitting non-standard base-pairing at the 3rd anti-codon position.
Source: RNAcentral
CCCCGGGUAGCGUAGCGGUAUCGCGGCCGGCUGUAGACCGGCAGGUCCCGGGUUCAAGUCCCGGCCCGGGGA